CGUAGGCACCAAGCGUUGUCCGGAUUUAUUGGGCGUAAAGCGUGCGCAGGCGGUUUGCUAAGACAGGUGUGAAAUCCCCGGGCUUAACCUGGGAACUGCGCUUGUGACUGGCAGGCUAGAGUACGGCAGAGGGGGGUGGAAUUCCUGGUGUAGCAGUGAAAUGCGUAGAUAUCAGGAGGAACACCGAUGGCGAAGGCAGCCCCCUGGGCCUGUACUGACGCUCAUGCACGAAAGCGUGGGGAGCAAACAGGAUUAGA
RNAcentral lists this ribosomal RNA (257 nucleotides) under uncultured prokaryote. RNAcentral's name for it is "partial 16S ribosomal RNA". It matches the Rfam family "Bacterial small subunit ribosomal RNA", at positions 526 to 782 of the family's 1533-position model. The record is from RNAcentral.